GUAGGUGGCAAGCGUUGUCCGGAAUUAUUGGGCGUAAAGAGCAUGUAGGCGGAGAUUUAAGUCUGUUGUGAAAAUGCGGGGCUCAACCCCGUAUUGCGAUGGAAACUGAAUUUCUUGAGUGCAGGAGAGGAAAGGGGAAUUCCCAGUGUAGCGGUGAAAUGCGUAGAUAUUGGGAGGAACACCAGUGGCGAAGGCGCCUUUCUGGACUGUGUCUGACGCUGAGAUGCGAAAGCCAGGGUAGCGAACGGGA
This 250-nucleotide ribosomal RNA is filed under the name uncultured bacterium. Its description in RNAcentral is "partial 16S ribosomal RNA". It matches the Rfam family "Bacterial small subunit ribosomal RNA", at positions 527 to 777 of the family's 1533-position model. The record is from RNAcentral.